This is a long non-coding RNA of Nymphaea colorata (pocket water lily), 1632 nucleotides long. RefSeq lists it as uncharacterized. The transcript has 3 exons. Lineage: Eukaryota; Viridiplantae; Streptophyta; Magnoliopsida; Nymphaeales; Nymphaeaceae. The record is from RefSeq and is a predicted model, not a curated record.
UCGAUUUUCGUCCCCCGAGAUUGGGGAGGGGGAAAGAAAAGGGGCCACCAUGCAACAGAAACCUCUCUACAACGUUACCUCUUGCCACUCGUCCCAUUCUCUGUCUUCUCUUCCUCUCUGUUAUCUCCUGCUGUUGCUGCCAUGACUGCUGUUGCUGCCAUGACUGCUGUUGAGGGCCUAAUUUCCCAUGGAUGCUCAAGUUUGGCUCCAAGGGCAACCACACUUUCUCCGUCGGCCGGGCGCCAACACCAUCCUCUUCUUCCUUCCUAGGGCUGCAGUGCUAUUCCUCUCAGGUGCAUGGACGUCAAGAACCAUCCUCACCUGCAUUUCCGCAAUCAGUUUCACAUGCAGAACUUAACUUCUGGCAGAAUGAUUCUGUUUGCCACCGCUUCUCACGAAGGAUCUGACCAUUAUCUGGAUUUUAAAGUGGAAAAAUUGAAGAAUGAGCUUGAGAAGCAGUCGGAAGAGUCACAAGAAGCAUGGAAGAGCACAAUAGAAUCUUACAUCUUACAAAGAGCAGGCUGCGAAAAUGAAAGACUUGUCAGAGGAAGCGUAUGAAUUGUAUCCUAAGAAAGCCAUGGUGCUUUUUGAAGAUGUCUCUGAGCAGGUCAAAGUACAAGCAAAGAAAGCUAGGAAAUAUAUAUCUUUGAUCGCAGAAGUCACCAUAGAGGGAAGGGAGUAUCUUUCUUCUGCAACGGAGAACCCUCUGAAGCCAGUAAAGGAAAGUGGAAACUUUUACUAGUGAAGGUGCUGAGUUGAAAAAAAUAUCUGAAAAUUCAUGAUUUUUUCAUUGGAAUUCCAUAUGAUGCACUGCUGUUCAUCGGUGGAUUUCUCUCCUUCAUGCUAAUUGUAAGCAUUCCAGCAAUUAGGUUUGGCAUGAUUCUAGGAGGUGCACUGUUGUAAAGGAGCAUAUUAAGCUUAAGAGGUUGGAAAGCAUGAAAAUCUUCUGCCUUAUAUUUGCAGGGUCAAGCAGAUAAGUUUUUAGUAUAGUAUCUCACAUGAAUUCAUUAUUAAAAAACAUCACUAUUUUUUCCACGUAUGUUUUGUUCAAUUAAGGUGCUUGGUAACUAUGUCAAAUAUUUGUUGUCACAAGUAGAAAUUAUAUUUCAUUUUUUCAGAUUUUUAUUGAGAUAACAUGCUUCCCUUUUACCACAUGUGAGAACACAUGUUCUAGCUUUUCUUCGGAACCUUCAUUACAAGAGCUUACCCAUGGCGGUGAAUUAGUGAGAUUUAAAAAUGAUUAGCUAGUCAAUGGAAGAAAUAGUUAUAUUGCGUAGACACUAACAUGAGUAUCAAUGUUAAACAUGGCUAAUCUUGGAAAACUGAACUCUCUCUUUAUAUACACACAUGCACACACACACACCCACACACCCACACACACACUCAUAUAUAUAUAUAUAUAUAUAUACACAAUAUAUUAUACAUAAUAUAUUAUAUAAAUAGCAUAUGUAUUAUACAUAUAUGUAUCUAUAAUAUAUAUAUGUAUAUUAUAUAUUAUACAUAUGCAAUGUGUAGUACAUAUAUAUUACGUAUGUUAUACUUAUACAUGUUAUAUUGUAUAUACAUAUAUGAAUAAUAUUACACAAUACAUAUUUGUAUAUGUUAUAUAUAUUUCAUACAACAUAUAUACAU